UACGAAGGGGGCUAGCGUUGCUCGGAAUCACUGGGCGUAAAGGGUGCGUAGGCGGGUCUUUAAGUCAGGGGUGAAAUCCUGGAGCUCAACUCCAGAACUGCCUUUGAUACUGAGGAUCUUGAGUUCGGGAGAGGUGAGUGGAACUGCGAGUGUAGAGGUGAAAUUCGUAGAUAUUCGCAAGAACACCAGUGGCGAAGGCGGCAUCCUGGACCGGCAUUGACGCUGAGGCGCGAAAGCUAGGGUAGCAAACGGG
This 253-nucleotide ribosomal RNA is filed under the name uncultured bacterium. Its description in RNAcentral is "partial 16S ribosomal RNA". It matches the Rfam family "Bacterial small subunit ribosomal RNA", at positions 524 to 776 of the family's 1533-position model. The record is from RNAcentral.